This is a long non-coding RNA of Rhinolophus ferrumequinum (greater horseshoe bat), 1864 nucleotides long. RefSeq lists it as uncharacterized. Lineage: Eukaryota; Metazoa; Chordata; Mammalia; Chiroptera; Rhinolophidae. The record is from RefSeq and is a predicted model, not a curated record. The transcript has 3 exons.
GUGUCCCCACCAAGCUCCUCCCUGGACGCUCUUCUGCUUCCUGGAGGCCUCACUGGGCCUGCUCCUCUCAACAACCGCGAACUUUCCACUCAAGUAGCCACCGGCCCCAGGUGGAGGGGUCAGCCGCUUUGCACAUGAGUGAUGAAAGCCAGAAGACGCUUCCCACCAACACCAGGAGUGCUGGGAGGACGCCUGGCAGGCGCGGGGACCGCCCACCAGAUUUUCAGGCACUCUGAGUUAAGCGGCUUUCUGGCCAUUCCUGGAAGCCUGGCAUCAUUGAUGAUGAGGUUUCCAAGUGGAAAGAUUCCCCCAAAGACACCUCGUUUGGAAGUUAAGCGGCUUCUGCGGUCAUUGGAAUGAAAUCCCAUUCUCUACAAACUGCCCUCAACACUGGAGAGACACUGCGGUCUUUUAGGAACAGAAAUCUCCAAGGGUUGCACUGAUGGACAAGACCCACAGUCUGUUCUUUGUCCACCUGGAUAGAAAAAGGCAUAGAAUCAGCCGAGUCUUGACCUUUGGAUGGCAUAGCACUGAAAUUUCCACUAGGUCACAGCAGAAGAGUAGCAGCCCGAGAGCCCUGAGAUUUCCCUCACCUAGAAGCCUCCUCCUCGGGAAAUUCCCCAGCCCCGCUGAGGCCCGAAGGAAAGUAUCGUCAAGCUUUUUUCAUUAGACUUGGACGAAAGGAUUCACAAGGAGCCGUCGCCUGAGUCCCCACUUCCCUGAGUCCUGCUGGCCGUUGCUUUUCCUUUCUUUCCUCCCCACACCUGUCUGCUGAUCUUGUGGCAGUACCUUCUGGAAGAUGAGGCACACACGGGACAUGGCCAUCCCUGAGCUGCCCAUGGGAGCCGGGCUGGGGUACUUAUUGGGUGCAGCUGACCUCAGCUUGGGCAGGAGGCCCUUUGUCCCCUGGCCCAGGGCCUGGACCUCACUCCUCACUCACAGCCUUCCGCCUCCUCUGACCGCCCCCCCCUUGUUGAAAUGUCCCUUGGGUUCUCUGGGGAAAAGGAUGGGUGGGGGAGUCGUGGCCCAAGGAGAGAAUGAAAACUCAUUUCUGCCAGAUGUUUGAACCCGCGAUCACAAAGCCAAAAUUAGGUACGACAGUGAAUAUUAACUUUCUAAUGUUAUAAUGAGAAUAGAAAUCCACAAAUUGCAAAUUCUAAGAAGCUGACAAAUACUAGAACCAUCAAGCAACUCAGGAAAGUAACAGGGUAUUUUUGUAUUAACCGCCCGCCUGCCUCUGGAACACAUUUCCUGUGACGUGUACACUGUCAUCACCUCUUUGUCCGACGAGGAUGCUGUAUUCCUUACUCUACAGACAGAAUACAAACAUGGACCAAGUUUCCUUCAUAGACGAGCAGUAGGAAUUCAGGGCGUGCUGAGUUUUCUCCCACAGGGACCAAUGCUCCUUGGAUGGACGACACUUGUUAUCCCGUGUGGCUUCUAUGCCCUCGCGGCAUGGGAACAGGCGUGGGAAGAAACUUAACUGAGGUUAAAAUGUCUCAUAUUUGCAAACUACAGAAAUGUGUGACCAUGGGAACACACUGCAAUUCAAUAUUGCAAUUCAAUGGCCAAAACAGAAUUUGUUUGUACUGAAGGCACUGACUUAGCAGGUACAUCCAGGCAGAGAGGGCAGGCCACUCCUUGCCCUUUCCAGAGAAAGUGCCCCCAAAAGAACGCAGCACCAAUCUCCUGCUAGUUUUUUUGAUUUCUCUAAGAAGUCGCAGCCUUACCUUUCCAGGGAGGGUUGGCCUUAGAGGAAUCUGAGUCUGAACUUCGGGGCGGGAGAUCUGGGUUCAAAGCCCAGCCCUGCCACUGCCUACCUGUGGGGCCUUGGGCAAGUGGUGAGAAGCCUCUGAGCCUCACC